Molecule: ribosomal RNA, 254 nt
Filed under: uncultured bacterium
Lineage: Bacteria
Description: partial small subunit ribosomal RNA
Rfam family: Bacterial small subunit ribosomal RNA
Source: RNAcentral
AGAACGAACGCUGGCGGCAGGCUUAACACAUGCAAGUCGAGCGGAAAGGCCCUUCGGGGUACUCGAGCGGCGAACGGGUGAGUAACACGUGAGCAACCUGCCCUUAGCUCCGGGAUAGCUCCGGGAAACCGGAAUUAAUACCGGAUACGACCACGGCCGACAUCUGCUGUGGUGGAAAGGAUUCCGGCUAAGGAUGGGCUCGCGGCCUAUCAGCUAGUUGGUGGAGUAACGGCCCACCAAGGCGACGACGGGUA